This 3198-nucleotide long non-coding RNA is filed under the name Daucus carota (carrot). RNAcentral's name for it is "long non-coding RNA (DCAR_LNC005176)". The record is from RNAcentral. Lineage: Eukaryota; Viridiplantae; Streptophyta; Magnoliopsida; Apiales; Apiaceae.
UGGCUCAAAACAACACUUGCAUUACAUAUUAAUUUAAUAAAAUCCAACUCUUGCCCCACAAGUCCAGGGUCGAUCGUCUUACAACAUUACUAUCGAGUCUAACUUUAUUACAUAAAGGGAAGUCUGAUUUCAGACCAUUAUAAUAACUAUAGCUCGUACUAUCAAGCGGCGUAGUCUAGCAGUCUCAGCUUGGGUGAUGCGCCUUUACCCUGCCUUUGCCAAAAACCCAUUUCCGGGCGGUUCUCUUGAGUUGUGCCAUACUCACUAUUUACUGCUCAAAAAGGAGUAAAAUAGAUGCAAGAAUGAGCAAUCAAAUUGCUCAGCAAGUCCACAAAGAACACAACAACAAUCAACAGAAGGUGCACGUAAGGCAUAGAAAACAAUUCAAGUCAAAGCAACAAAGCAGCUACCGUCAAAUGACAACACAAGUUCAAGUAAAGAAAACGCUGGUCUUCCACCUUUCGGUAACACUACAUGGCUCGAUCAGCACCAUUUCGUGAAUACCGUUCUCCUGUGUGAUCUUUGCAGUUUGAUCGUAACCGCACAAGACACACCUACCACUCUCAUUUGCUAGCAUAAGGGUUAACAUUUGUAACCCUAGACUAUCCACACACAGUAGAUAGUCAAAGAAAUCAUCAUCUCUUCCACGAAUUUAAUAAAUUCGUGUUGACCAGCUUAAACAGAUUACUCCGAAUACAAGGAAAUUCUCACAAACAAACACUUCUCAAUCAAUACUACUCAUCUCUACCAAAGAAGUGCGAACAAUGCACCCUUUCAACAAGGAUUACCCGAAGGUAGAAGUGAAUAAUAAUUAAAAGAUUUAAAUUCCAAAGAAUGAGAUGAUCUCCAAAAAGAGAGUAAGUUAAUUGUGGUGAGAUCAUCGCUGCAAUGUAUUCACUUCAAGUUCCGAAGAUUCCGAAUAUUAUCGUUAUUAGGAUCAGCUCAUUCCCGUACAAUGGGAGUGCUCGAAUUAGAAGAAGUAAUGUAUGAACAAUAUUUCUAGAGUCUUCAAAUGGAACGUAGAUAUCUUCUGGAUUCACAAUGGUACGAAAUGUAAUAUCUUCAUAAUCAACACUUUUCACACAAUUAUCAAAUAGGCAUGAAAACCUUCACGUCAAGAGGGGGAUAGUGAACUUGCCUGACGUCCUUAGCUUGAAAAUAUUCCAAUUUAUCACGUAUAAUCAGGCUUCGCCUUUCCAGACAAUAAAUAUUCUAUAUCACACAAAAUGAUAAAUUUAGUAUUCCCAUAAAAUAAUGAUCUUGACUGAUUUAUUAUAAAAUCUAUAUAACUCCUCAUUUACUAAUAUCAUGAGUUUUAAUCGAUUAUCUAACUCUUUACAUUACUCGUACUUCACCAAAAUGUUAUACCAUAACUUUCCCACUUUACACAAGUAUAAAAUUUGGAUUAUUGUAACUACAUUAAAGUUAUAUAAUACCCGAUUCCUUUUUAUUAUUCUCUUUCUUUGAUUAUUAAUUAAUAACCCAAUUAAACCUGUAAACAUACAGAAUUUCAUUAUUUAUUACCACGGUCUCCAUUAACAUUUGAAUGAUUAUUCCCCUAAUAUUAAAUUCCUUCACUAUCUAAACAAUUCAACUCAUUUCUUAUUAAAUUCUUAAACACCAAUUAGAAUCUCAUUUUCUUUUUAAUUAUGCCUCUAAACAUUCUUUUUAUCUCCAUUUUAAUCUCUCAAUACAAUAAAUCUAAAAUAACUUCCAACUUACUCUAUUUACCUCUCUUUUUGGUAUAAAACCAAAUUCUUUAUUUAUAACUCUAAAUUAUAUAAUUUAUUUCCUUUUAUUAAUCCAAUUACCAUAAGUAACACAUUUCUCUCCCAUUAUUAUAUAUUCACUCAAAUCCAGCCUUUUAAAUAUAAUCACCACAUUUUAUCAAUUUUAUCUAGUUUUAUUAGCAACUCACUUAUUAAUUUACCAAAAUAUUCCCACCAUCUCUCUCCCUCGUCAUCUUCCUCAACCUCCCACCUUCAUUUCUCUCGCUUCUCCCUCUCCCCUCUCUCUCUCUCUCUUUCGCGACCUCUCUCCCCUCUCCCUUCUCUCGCGAAUACACCGCCGUCACCGGCGGCGUCUCCCCGCUCCUAAGCUCUCUGCCACCACAACACACAUCAAAACACACGCACACUUUUCUCUAAAUCUCUCCUCUGUCAACCUCGACGCUGCCGAGGGUCUCCGUCGGCGAUGCCGACGCGAAAACUCCGGCCAGCUCCACUACCCGCCUACCGCUCCGAUUCCAACAACAAAUUCAACAAUAAUCAGAAUUUUAAUCAAGAUUCAGUAUCUAUACAAGUUUAAUUGAAUUAAUAAACUCUAGCUUAUACGAUCUAAUUUAGUUUAUACAGUCUUUGUUUCUUCAAAAAUUAGGUAUAAAACACUAGACUCCAUAUUGGGUACAGUGUUGUAACUUAAGAAUAAUAAACAGAACUUAAAUUAGCAUUGCCAAUGGGGCCAAAGAAAGAAGCUUAAAUAAUGUAUAAAUAUUCAGGGGUGUACGUCCAAUUACCUUGCUUGCUUUGAGUGAAAUGACCCCAAGAUUCUCUUUCUUCUUUACUUUCCAAAUCUGGCUCAUCUCCUUUCUGAUCAAUACACUCUUUCUUUGUUUUAUGAAAUUGAGCCAACAAAGGUAUUAUUUUUGUUGGGUUUUUAUAUGCAUUCUCUAAUUACGAUUAACAUCUAAUUAUUAGAUUAAUUAAUUAUUAAGCACUUCAUUACUUGGAGGCUACUCAAUAUACUUGGCCACCAAGUUUUACAACUUGGGCUCCAAGUUCCGUCCCGCCAAUUGCGAUUUUAUUCGGCUCGAUUCCUAUUUUCUCGUAUCGGUUUUUAACAAAUACAAAUAAUUUAAUAGCUAAAUAUCGAUAUAAAAUAAUUAAAUAAAUAGACUUUUAAUUAUAAAAUUUUUCUGACCAAUCCCCAAUUUAUUAAAUAAUCAAGAUAAAAUAAUCAUCUCGACUAAAACGUAAUAUUUAUUCACGAAUCAGUAGAUAAAUGUAUAAUCGCGUCUACUAUAUUUUUCGCAUAAACGCAGCUCUAGCUUUAAUAUACAUAUUUAGAUUAAAAGACUGGCCGACACCAAAAUAAUAUUACGUGUUUUCUACAAUUCUCUCAGCUACGACAUUUUUAAUUAAUGACUCCCGCAUUAUAAAUUUUAUUAAAUCUGAAACUAAUAAAAAAGUCUUUUUGUAU